RNAcentral lists this ribosomal RNA (301 nucleotides) under uncultured bacterium. RNAcentral's name for it is "partial 16S ribosomal RNA". It matches the Rfam family "Bacterial small subunit ribosomal RNA", at positions 509 to 807 of the family's 1533-position model. The record is from RNAcentral.
CAGCAGCCACGGGAAUACGGAGGGUGCAAGCGUUAUCCGGAUUUAUUGGGUUUAAAGGGUCCGUAGGCGGACUUAUAAGUCAGUGGUGAAAGCCUGUCGCUUAACGAUAGAACUGCCAUUGAUACUGUAAGUCUUGAGUAUAUUUGAGGUAGCUGGAAUAAGUAGUGUAGCGGUGAAAUGCAUAGAUAUUACUUAGAACACCAAUUGCGAAGGCAGGUUACCAAGAUAUAACUGACGCUGAGGGACGAAAGCGUGGGUAGCGAACAGGAUUAGAUACCCCAGUAGUCCCUGUCUCUUAUAC